AGUAAAUAGAUACCCAGGUAGUCCACGCCGUAAACGAUGUCGACUUGGAGGUUGUGCCCUUGAGGCGUGGCUUCCGGAGCUAAACGCGUUAAGUCGACCGCCUGGGGAGUACGGCCGCAAGGUUAAAACUCAAAUGAAUUGACGGGGGCCCGCACAAGCGGUGGAGCAUGUGGUUUAAUUCGAUGCAACGCGAAGAACCUUACCUACUCUUGACAUCCAGAGAACUUAGCAGAGAUGCUUUGGUGCCUUCGGGAACUCUGAGACAGGUGCUGCAUGGCUGUCGUCAGCUCGUGUUGUGAAAUGUUGGGUUAAGUCCCGCAACGAGCGCAACCCUUAUCCUUUGUUGCCAGCGGUUAGGCCGGGAACUCAAAGGAGACUGCCAGCGAUAAACUGGAGGAAGGUGGGGAUGACGUCAAGUCAUCAUGGCCCUUACGAGUAGGGCUACACACGUGCUACAAUGGCGCAUACAAAGAGAAGCGACCUCGCGAGAGCAAGCGGACCUCAUAAAGUGCGUCGUAGUCCGG
This 524-nucleotide ribosomal RNA is filed under the name uncultured bacterium. RNAcentral describes it as "bacterial SSU rRNA". It matches the Rfam family "Bacterial small subunit ribosomal RNA", at positions 774 to 1296 of the family's 1533-position model. The record is from RNAcentral.